RNAcentral lists this ribosomal RNA (681 nucleotides) under uncultured Diversispora. RNAcentral describes it as "SSU rRNA". It matches the Rfam family "Eukaryotic small subunit ribosomal RNA", at positions 434 to 1114 of the family's 1831-position model. Lineage: Eukaryota; Fungi; Glomeromycota; Glomeromycetes; Diversisporales; Diversisporaceae. The record is from RNAcentral.
GCGCAAAUUACCCAAUCCCGACACGGGGAGGUAGUGACAAUAAAUAACAAUACGGGGCUCAUUUGGGUCUCGUAAUUGGAAUGAGUACAAUUUAAAUCUCUUAACGAGGAACAAUUGGAGGGCAAGUCUGGUGCCAGCAGCCGCGGUAAUUCCAGCUCCAAUAGCGUAUAUUAAAGUUGUUGCAGUUAAAAAGCUCGUAGUUGAACUUCGGGGUUUACCCAUUGGUCAGGCUUAAUUGUCUGUACUGGUGAGAUAAAUCUCUACCUUCUGAGGAACUUUCAUGUCAUUAAUUUGGUGUGAUUGGAAAUCAGGACUGUUACUUUGAAAAAAUUAGAGUGUUUAAAGCAGGCUAACGUCUGAAUACAUUAGCAUGGAAUAAUGAAAUAGGACGGAUUGAUUCUAUUUCGUUGGUUUCUAGGAUCACCGUAAUGAUUAAUAGGGAUAGUUGGGGGCAUUAGUAUUCAAUUGUCAGAGGUGAAAUUCUUGGAUUUAUUGAAGACUAACUACUGCGAAAGCACUUGCCAAGGAUGUUUUCAUUAAUCAAGAACGAAAGUUAGAGGAUCGAAGACGAUCAGAUACCGUCGUAGUCUUAACCAUAAACUAUGCCGACUAGGGAUCGGACGAAGUUAAUUUUAUAAUGACGCAUUCGGCACCUUACGGGAAACCAAAGUGUUUGGGUUC